Molecule: ribosomal RNA, 229 nt
Filed under: uncultured bacterium
Lineage: Bacteria
Description: partial 16S ribosomal RNA
Rfam family: Bacterial small subunit ribosomal RNA
Source: RNAcentral
UACCCUUGACAUGUCCGGAAUCCUGCAGAGAUGCGGGAGUGCUCGAAAGAGAACCGGAACACAGGUGCUGCAUGGCUGUCGUCAGCUCGUGUCGUGAGAUGUUGGGUUAAGUCCCGCAACGAGCGCAACCCUUAUCAUUAGUUGCUACGCAAGGGCACUCUAAUGAGACUGCCGGUGACAAACCGGAGGAAGGUGGGGAUGACGUCAAGUCCUCAUGGCCCUUAUGGGG